UUUAAUCCGGCAACCAUAGCAGCGUAGCAGCAUGGCGCCUCGCUAGUAGUGUCGUGAUGUGUGCGUGCAGCCGUGUGUUUGGGCUUUAUAAGUUGGUUCUUUAUUCUAUGUUGCGGGACGGUGUGGGUGUGGUCCAUGUUGGCCGUACAGGUGGCAGUUAUGCAACCGGGGGAUGAUCCUGUUGAAGUUUCCGGCGGUAUGCGGUUUUCAGCGGUCAUGCCUGUGGCAGAAGUGUCACGUACUCGACGAGGUUACGAGCUCGAAGCUGUGGUCAGAUUCUUCGUUGGCGUUCCGUAAUUCUCUUCGCACGGGCGCGGUAUGUUGGAAAAGCCGCUUUCGCGAUCUAUCGUAGCGACGAUAGAUCGGGUUUCUUUAUUAUUAUAAGUACUGAUCCAGUACAGGGCGGCGCCCUAGAGGUUCCCACUUUUCCAGCCCAGCUUUUCCUCUAGAGUUGUUCUACUAACUCUAUGCUCUAGGGCGCCGCCCUGUUGCUACUGGUCAAUGUGGGCAGCGCAAUUACUAUUGAAAGAGCUGAAAACAAGUACAGGUCACCGUAUGCUUUGUCAUCUAAAAACGCAUACCUGAGGUUUUAUGAAGGUGGUGGGUUAAUAGUAAGUUUACAGAAAGCGAUCACUAAGUCCGUGACUUAUGUAAAUCACGAACUACGCAUUCAUUUAAUAAAGGAUGACGCGAAUUCCGGUUUCGAAUCUGUUUUUUGGAAGCGUAGUAGUUUCGUACAGUUUAGGUUUGACAUCCGAUCGCGCGUCGACAUCGGACGCUAUGGCACACUCGUGCCUUCUGUGCCACCGAAGCCCCGAAGUGCCCAGGCAUAUACCUUCACAUGUUUCCCUUCAGUAGGAAAUUGCUGGACAGGCGGACCAGCGCACCGGAAUUGUACUGGCGAAGCCACAAGCAACUCAAAGAAUCUGUUUAAUUGUUGCACUUUGAACAAUCAUGCUUCUACAAAGGCCACAGCAGAAAAACAGCCUGAUGCCGACUAUUUCUGUGCCACGAAGUAAUCAAGAGGCGAGUGCCUAAUGCGGACGAAAUCGAGUGCAUCGAGACUUAGAACGACAGAAAGCUGAGCUAGUUGGCAAGGAUUAAUUAUGCAAAACAGAGGUGAGGCGUGCAGACAGGACACAAGAGUAGAGAAGUGGGCGGCGCUCGUGUUGCAUGUUUGCUUGUAAAUACUCUAUUCUUGUGUCCUGUCUGCACGCCUCACCUCCGUUUUGCAUAACGAGUGUAUCAACCCACAUAUUAAUAGCGUAGGCGUUUUAUUAACUGUGCAAUAUUUUCAACACUUCCUUGCAUGCCAUUUCAUGUGGAAUAUCCUUUUUGGUCACAAAUUUGUGCAGCGAAUCUAUUUGCAUGAUCGACUUCGGGCCUGUAGGUCCGUUCACUUGCACUUGAUGCUGAGUCUUUUACAUGUAUCCAUAAACUGCAGAUAUGCACAUCAGAUCCCUGCGAGCAUUUUCAAAAUUCAGUUAUUUUAGACAACAGGCACAUAUGCAAUACUGACAUAAUCUCAAAUACCACUAAGCAGCUGGGACACAUUUUUGCUCACCAUACUCGCAGGUAAAAUAAGUAGAAUAUGCGGACAGCUCCAGCACAUUUUCCUUAAAUCAGUGUGUACAAGGAGUAUGCAAAAAUAAUUUUUUCUCGCGCACCGAUUCAUUUGCUGUAUAAGCAAGAGAACACACCACGUUAGUGUAACGUAUCUUGUACAUCACACUAAUAAGUGCUUUAAUUUACCAAGUGAGAUGAGUUACUUUUAUGGAUCAUUCAGUCAUAUCACACUGCAAGCUGCAUUCAUCAAUCUUCAAUUGGAUUUCGCAUGAAACAUGUUUCCCUUUUAUGCAGAUAUGCAAUGGCAAGCCCUUCCGUGUGUUCCAAAGGUAAAAUUUAAGCUCGAAAUUAAAGAAGACAUUUCUAGUCAGAAACAAGCAAAAAUGGUGAAUGCAGAGUAUCAGAAGCCCAAGGUACAGAAAUUAUGAGAAGUGUCGAAUGAUUUUAAGGAAAGAAUGGUAUUUGAAGAUGCAAGAUUCUUUAGUGGAAAUCAAGCAAGUCAGUAUAGGUAGAAUACUCUGAGAAAUUAUGCGAGUAAUGGGAUAGCACACAAUGGGUCAGGAAAUGCGUUGUUUUUCUGAAAAACUAAAGCUGAUGACUGUCAUAUCAUGAGUCACUUUAGCAUCAUGAGACUGCUGUUUGAUAAAUUCAGAAAAAAAACUAUUUAAUGACGCUCUCUCCACACUGGGAUAAAUAAUAAGAAACGGAUCACGUCUAAUGUGGACAUAUCAGACACCUUGUGAAACACUAAAGGAAAAAUUCAGUGUCGAGCUAUGGCACUUGCCGCAUAGAUGUGGGGGGCCUUGCAGUAAUAGUAAUAGUUACCACUGCAUCUAGAAAUUUAAAGCAUUCAUGCAGACAAGGAUGAUUCUUUAUAUUUUUAGCUGCCACUUCAAAUGCCUCCACUAAGUGUUACAAUGCUGCACGCAGCCAUACUAAGGAUCUCACAGCAACACUUGCAGGUAAACAGCAAAAGCAGUCAAAGUGCUGGUGUAUUCUGGACACUGUCUUUGAAAACUUUUAGGCAACAACAGUGCAAGAAACAGACAUAAGAACUGCAUUUAUUUCUAUAAUUCCCCAUUUGAAUGGCCUUUUCUUUUUCCUUCGACAAUGCCUUCGCCUAGCCACAGCAGCUCCCUCAUACAGACUCCGCAAGCCAAGAGGCCGUGGAGGCAAAUGCAGACAGCCAGCACACCUCGAACAGCCACCUUGACUGCGGGUGUGUCACCCUAGUCGCCAAGGAAACAUUUGAGGGAAAGCGACAGGCAAUGUGAACAGCCACUUCUCCAUGUAAACGAUACUCUUUCUCUCGGAUGACUCCUACGUUCGCCACGCCAGCACACUUGUGCACAAAGAUGCCGCGGAGGCACGUGCAGGUCAGAGGCAAGAAGCAGUGGCACUGGUGUCGACAUUCGCCCAAUUUUUUUUUCCUACACUGAGGCAGCCAGCACACCUCGAACAGCCACCUUAACUGCGGGUGUGUUAGUAGAUUCCUGUUGUACAUAUGCUCAUAAUAAACUUCAGUAAACUUGAACUUGAUAAUAAACUUGAAGGCAAAUGGGA
Molecule: long non-coding RNA, 3129 nt
Organism: Dermacentor andersoni
Lineage: Eukaryota; Metazoa; Arthropoda; Arachnida; Ixodida; Ixodidae
Source: RefSeq, a predicted model, not a curated record